UCCCUCAUAGCUCAGUUGGUAAACCUGCCUGCAAUGCAGGAGACCCGGGUUUGAUUCCUGGUUUGGGAA
Ovis aries (sheep) is the source of this 69-nucleotide transfer RNA. It matches the Rfam family "tRNA". From Rfam's summary of the family: Transfer RNA (tRNA) molecules are approximately 80 nucleotides in length. Their secondary structure includes four short double-helical elements and three loops (D, anti-codon, and T loops). Lineage: Eukaryota; Metazoa; Chordata; Mammalia; Artiodactyla; Bovidae. The record is from Rfam.